This 377-nucleotide ribosomal RNA is filed under the name uncultured bacterium. Its description in RNAcentral is "bacterial SSU rRNA". It matches the Rfam family "Bacterial small subunit ribosomal RNA", at positions 521 to 896 of the family's 1533-position model. The record is from RNAcentral.
UAAUACGGAGGGUGCGAGCGUUGUCCGGAAUCACUGGGCGUAAAGGGCGCGUAGGUGGCCGAGCAAGGUCGCGGUGAAAGCCCGGGGCUCAACCCCGGGUCGGCCGUGGCAACUACUGGGCUGGAGCACUGUAGGGGCGGGUGGAAUUCCGGGUGUAGCGGUGGAAUGCGUAGAGAUCCGGAAGAACACCGGUGGCGAAGGCGGCCCGCUGGGCAGUUGCUGACACUGAGGCGCGACAGCGUGGGGAGCAAACAGGAUUAGAUACCCUGGUAGUCCACGCCGUAAACGAUGGGCACUAGAUGCUUGGGGGAGCGACCCUCCGAGUGUCGGCGCUAACGCAUUAAGUGCCCCGCCUGGGGAGUACGGCCGCAAGGCUG